Molecule: long non-coding RNA, 324 nt
Organism: Hevea brasiliensis (rubber tree)
Lineage: Eukaryota; Viridiplantae; Streptophyta; Magnoliopsida; Malpighiales; Euphorbiaceae
Exons: 2
Source: RefSeq, a predicted model, not a curated record
UUAGGCUGUCUAUUGCCUCUUUAGAGUUUUAUUUUGAGUUAGUACUAAUAAAUUUAUAAUUUAAUUAUUAGGUGAUCGAGAUCAACUAUUUUCCUGCAUCCAGCAGCCACAAUAGUCGACGGUGUACUGCCACAGGAGGAGUUAUUUUACAGAGCAACCUGUUUUCUUCCUUGCAGGUUUAACGUCGGUUAUUUAAUUCUUUUAUUAUUUUUCAAAAUUUGAAAUCUAGAACUCCGCAUGUGUUAGUAAUAGUGUGAACCUUAUUAGGAAUCGUGUAAUUUAAAUUUUCCAGAUUAAUAAAUGAAGAUUUGUAUGGUAUUUAAA